GUCAAGUUGGUCGAGCCAUGCUUAGAUUUGAGCAUUCGUUUGUUAGAUAUACUUGGUAUUAUCAUGUUAAUGGUUGGACCUUACUAAGAUUUUUAGUGAAGGUGCCACACGCCUGCUGAAGAGAUGUCUAGGACAAAAUCUAAUUGCUAGAAAUUAUUUGGUGAAAUAAUUGGUUAAGAACAUAUCCAUGGAUGCACUAGGGU
This 203-nucleotide long non-coding RNA is filed under the name Elaeis guineensis (African oil palm). RNAcentral's name for it is "long non-coding RNA (EGUI_LNC028230)". Lineage: Eukaryota; Viridiplantae; Streptophyta; Magnoliopsida; Arecales; Arecaceae. The record is from RNAcentral.